GCGCGAAAACUUUACAAUGCGGGAAACCGUGAUAAGGGGACACCGAGUGCCAGCAUCAUAUGCUGGCUGUCCGGGUGUGUAAAAUACACCUGUUAGCAAGGGCCGGGCAAGACCGGUGC
Molecule: ribosomal RNA, 119 nt
Filed under: uncultured archaeon
Lineage: Archaea
Description: partial 16S ribosomal RNA
Rfam family: Archaeal small subunit ribosomal RNA
Source: RNAcentral